This 450-nucleotide ribosomal RNA is filed under the name Staphylococcus aureus. RNAcentral's name for it is "partial 23S ribosomal RNA". It matches the Rfam family "Bacterial large subunit ribosomal RNA", at positions 2092 to 2541 of the family's 2925-position model. The record is from RNAcentral. Lineage: Bacteria; Bacillati; Bacillota; Bacilli; Caryophanales; Staphylococcaceae.
CGUGGAGCUUUACUGUAGCCUGAUAUUGAAAUUCGGCACAGCUUGUACAGGAUAGGUAGGAGCCUUUGAAACGUGAGCGCUAGCUUACGUGGAGGCGCUGGUGGGAUACUACCCUAGCUGUGUUGGCUUUCUAACCCGCACCACUUAUCGUGGUGGGAGACAGUGUCAGGCGGGCAGUUUGACUGGGGCGGUCGCCUCCUAAAAGGUAACGGAGGCGCUCAAAGGUUCCCUCAGAAUGGUUGGAAAUCAUUCAUAGAGUGUAAAGGCAUAAGGGAGCUUGACUGCGAGACCUACAAGUCGAGCAGGGUCGAAAGACGGACUUAGUGAUCCGGUGGUUCCGCAUGGAAGGGCCAUCGCUCAACGGAUAAAAGCUACCCCGGGGAUAACAGGCUUAUCUCCCCCAAGAGUUCACAUCGACGGGGAGGUUUGGCACCUCGAUGUCGGCUCAUC